UGCUCCACUCCGCUUCUUUCUUUAACAAUAGAACAGCAACAUGAUUAUCUACAAGAAGCCUCUGCUUUUCUUCCUUCUAUCAAGUAAAAAAAAAAUUGAAGUUGUCGUUUCAUUGUUCUACUUUUAGAUUCACAUCAUUACAUGUUUCAGAUUCCAGUUUCUAAUUAGCUGUCGUCUCUUCAUUCGAAAUCUCUGACCCCAAACAAAUGUUCUUAUCUGCAGAGACACGACUCAAAACAUACAUCUAGCUUCAGAGCUUCAAAGUUCAAACUCAAGAAGAGUACAACACCAUGACCACAACCACGAACUAUACUCUUCCUGCUCAAAGCUCCUUGGUUAUCUUGAAACAAAAGAUAUCUCUCUUAGUCUCUUACCGUACUAGGGAUCACCACGAAUAAUAUACCAACUUUAAUUAUA
Camelina sativa (false flax) is the source of this 417-nucleotide non-coding RNA. NCBI's taxonomy places the organism in Eukaryota, Viridiplantae, Streptophyta, Magnoliopsida, Brassicales, Brassicaceae. The record is from RefSeq and is a predicted model, not a curated record.